Molecule: ribosomal RNA, 405 nt
Filed under: uncultured bacterium
Lineage: Bacteria
Description: bacterial SSU rRNA
Rfam family: Bacterial small subunit ribosomal RNA
Source: RNAcentral
UAGGGAAUAUUGGUUAAUGGGCGAAAGCCUGAACCAGCAACGCCGCGUGCACGAUGAAGGCCUUCGGGUUGUAAAGUGCUUUUAGAAGGGAAGAGGAAGGACGGUACCUUCUGAAUAAGUCUCGGCUAACUACGUGCCAGCAGCCGCGGUAAAACGUAGGAGACGAGCGUUAUCCGGAUUUACUGGGCGUAAAGCGCGUGCAGGCGGUUUGGUAAGUUGGAUGUGAAAGCUCCUGGCUUAACUGGGAGAGGUCGUUCAAUACUGCCAGACUUGAGAGUGGUAGAGGGAGGUGGAAUUCCGGGUGUAGUGGUGAAAUGCGUAGAUAUCCGGAGGAACACCAGUGGCGAAAGCGGCCUCCUGGACCAUUUCUGACGCUCAGACGCGAAAGCUAGGGUAGCAAACGGG